Ipomoea triloba (trilobed morning glory) is the source of this 1364-nucleotide long non-coding RNA. RefSeq lists it as uncharacterized. NCBI's taxonomy places the organism in Eukaryota, Viridiplantae, Streptophyta, Magnoliopsida, Solanales, Convolvulaceae. The record is from RefSeq and is a predicted model, not a curated record. The transcript is spliced from 2 exons.
UCCUCUCUCUUCCAGAAUCAUCUCUUCCCGUCCGCUCUUCUUCCUCCCCAUCUACUGCGCCGGAAAAAACAUCAAAGAUACUAAAUCAGAAUAAACUCUCCACCUUCGACGCCAGGCAUCACCUAUGAGACCAAACAUAAACCACUCUGUUUCUACAUCCGCAAUUCCAAGCUCGCAAAACCCUCAAUCAAGCCCAGAAACAGAAUCCCGUCCUCCAUCGCUAGUUCCCGGCAGCAACCCUCGUCAUUAUAGCAAUACAGACCCAAUCUAUUGCAUGCAGUUAGAUAUGGAGUAUCUAAACGAUAAUCAUAAAAGAGAGAAGAGAUAGAUAAUCAGAAAAUAUGGAAGAGAUGGAUCUGAGCAAGUCCUAAGAUAAGUAGAGUUUUAACAAUGAUCUAUUUUAGUCUAACUCUAAUUCCUACUUUUUACAUAAUUUCAUUUACUGAAAUUCAUUUUCUCUGCCCUGUGUAGUUUAGCAGAGUCAAGGGAAACACAUAUUUCUUAAAUUCUACAAACAUAAAAACGCAGAAGUGAAAUACUCUUAAAUUCCAUUUUCAUUGAUUUUACUUCAAAUUGCAGAAAGUUUCAACGGCAUAUGUAAUUUAUACUGGACUUUUAGGCAAUUCGUAUGUUUAUGUUAUGCGAUGAGGAUAAUUUUGAGAGGAUACUUGUAGGUCUAUUUGUUAUAGAAUGUUGUCAGGUUAAGAUAAUUGCAUUGUUAGGAUGUCUGCGAGCAGAAAUCUGGCUGGAUUAUAAUAGAGGAUAUUACCAAUUCCGAUAUCAUUGAAUUAUUGAUAGCAUGCAAACGAUUAAGAGUAUGUAAUUUUUUCUGGUUUGAUUCCGCCAUAAUUAAUCAUUGAUUCAUUCAUCUCUCUUUCUUUUGAGAUCUGUCCAGAUUGGAUUUUGAGAACUGGAUUUCUCCCGAGAGGACUCCUGACUCCAUGUUCAUCCUUGUUUCAGCAGUAUGGACAUACAGUUGCAGUCUCGAUGGAGCUUCUACUUUGUCCUUCCUUCUAUCGCAGCCUCAAAGAAUUUAUAUUGCUCUCCAAUAUGACAAACAGACUUUGCUCUCCAAUAUGACAGACUACUCCGCCAGCAGGAACAAAUUUGGUACUAUUGGGUGUGAUACUGCCUUCUUAUUUAUAGUGUUGAAGUGAUGUAUAGGUUGGUGUAAAUAUUUAUUUUGAAUUUUAAAUUCAUCCGUAUUAAUUUAAAUUAAUGUUAGUUUUGGAAAUUGUAAAAUUCAUUUGUAAUUCAAUACAUAUAGUUAUUGAAACUUGCAAUUAUGCUUUGUUUCUUGUAGUAAAUGUGAACACAAUAGAUGCCUACCAUUGAGCAUUAAAUGUAAAAAUAGUUCUAAUUCA